UACAGAGGUCCCAAGCGUUGUUCGGAUUCACUGGGCGUAAAGGGUGCGUAGGUGGCCAGGUAAGUCUGAUGUGAAAUCUCUGGGCUCAACCCAGAAACUGCAUUGGAUACUAUCUGGCUAGAGGAGUGGAGGGGGGACUGGAAUACUUGGUGUAGCAGUGAAAUGCGUAGAUAUCAAGUGGAACACCAGUGGCGAAGGCGAGUCCCUGGACACUUCCUGACACUGAGGCACGAAAGCUAGGGGAGCAAACAGG
RNAcentral lists this ribosomal RNA (253 nucleotides) under uncultured bacterium. RNAcentral describes it as "partial 16S ribosomal RNA". It matches the Rfam family "Bacterial small subunit ribosomal RNA", at positions 524 to 776 of the family's 1533-position model. The record is from RNAcentral.